RNAcentral lists this unclassified non-coding RNA (144 nucleotides) under uncultured Helotiales. Its description in RNAcentral is "sequence contains ITS2". The record is from RNAcentral. Lineage: Eukaryota; Fungi; Ascomycota; Leotiomycetes; Helotiales.
UAACCCCUCAAGCUCUGCUUGGUGUUGGGGCCUGCCGUCUGGCAGCCCUUAAAAUCAGUGGCGGUGCCAUCUAGCUCUAAGCGUAGUAAUUUUUCUCGCUAUAGAGUCCCGGUGGAUGCUUGCCAUUAACCCCCAAUUUUCUAU